RNAcentral lists this ribosomal RNA (492 nucleotides) under uncultured bacterium. RNAcentral's name for it is "partial 16S ribosomal RNA". It matches the Rfam family "Bacterial small subunit ribosomal RNA", at positions 29 to 507 of the family's 1533-position model. The record is from RNAcentral.
AGUGAACGCUGGCGGUAGGCCUAACACAUGCAAGUCGAACGGCAGCACAGUAAGAGCUUGCUCUUACGGGUGGCGAGUGGCGGACGGGUGAGGAAUGCAUCGGAAUCUACUUUUUCGUGGGGGAUAACGUAGGGAAACUUACGCUAAUACCGCAUACGACCUACGGGUGAAAGCAGGGGAUCUUCGUACCUUGCGCGAUUGAAUGAGCCGAUGUCGGAUUAGCUAGUUGGCGGGGUAAAGGCCCACCAAGGCGACGAUCCGUAGCUGGUCUGAGAGGAUGAUCAGCCACACUGGAACUGAGACACGGACCAGACUCCUACGAGAGGCAGCAGUGGGGAAUAUUGGACAAUGGGCGCAAGCCUGAUCCAGCCAUACCGCGUGGGUGAAGAAGGCCUUCGGGUUGUAAAGCCCUUUUGUUGGGAAAGAAAAGCAGCAGGUUAAUACCCCGCUGUUCUGACGGUACCCAAAGAAUAAGCACCGGCUAACUUCGUG